Molecule: long non-coding RNA, 1377 nt
Organism: Hydra vulgaris (swiftwater hydra)
Lineage: Eukaryota; Metazoa; Cnidaria; Hydrozoa; Anthoathecata; Hydridae
Source: RefSeq, a predicted model, not a curated record
UAAAUUUUUUUUAGUUAGAUAACAAAUGGUGUUUGUGGAUGGUCCUUUAAGACUCACCACAUUUACUAUUAAAAAUGUAAAGAUUACAUGAAUGAUUAGAUUGAUUAUGAUUAAAUUAUUUUGCAUAACUCUGUUACAUAUGACUAAACAAGAGAAAAAUUACCUAUGAUAAAUGUUUAUUCAAUCAACGACAGUAAAACCCUGAUAAAUUUAGAAGUAAACAUAUUUCAGAAAAGUCUUUGUCCUACCAGGUAAUGAUCAUGAUGAUUGCGAUGAUGAUAUGAUAUACGUGAUAAUGAUGAGCAUAUGUAAUUUAGAUGAUGAUCAUCAUAUCAUGAUGUUGGUUCACUUUCAGUUUUUUAUAGAAAUUUAUAUUAUCACAAAUUUGCAUAUUUAAAUUCAGAAACUGACACUCCACAGUAACUGAAAAAAAAGAAAGUUGUAAAUAAUAAAAAUAGACACUUGCUCCCGCCCGUGCUAUUACUACUUUAACAUUUUUAUGUAUUGAAAAUUUGACUUCUUCAAAUCAUUUAAAGUUAAAUAACUUUUUAAACCAAGGCUCUGCUUCUGAAGUUUUAGAAAAGGAUGUAUUUUUACACUUUUUUCAUUAGAAUAUUCUUUUUUCUUUUCGUAACUGAAUUUCAAUAUGUUCUGAAACAAUCUUUUAGUUUAUGUAAAUAGGACACAAAUUCGUAUCAAAUUUUAUCAAGUUAAAUUAAUGGACGUACUUUUUUCGAAAGCAAUGAGUUAGACAACUGAUGGGAUAGAGACCCAUCCACUUCUAUGGUAUUGUAUUUUAUUGACUAGAAAGGUUUUUUUCAUGAAGAAUUUAUUUAAAAGAGUGCUUUAUAAAGUGACAAUGUCUUAAUUUAUUUUUAGCGCUUAAAUUCUAAAAAAUGUGCUUUGAUUAAAUAAAAAUGAAAAUAUUUUGUUGUUGCCUAUUGAGAUGAUAACAACUUAGUUGUGUGCUAAACAGUUGCUGGAUGAGUUAAAGCUCUCAUAGCUUCCUAAAUCAGUAUUGCAUCAUCAGUUGCAUCUAAUGCUAAAAUUGAAGCACACAGUAAGCAUUAGUAAACUUAAUUUAACUGUUUCAUUGUUGUUAAUUUUUUGUUUUUUUUAGUUUUUGGGGUCUUGACAUCUAAUGGAUGUUUAUCUGUGAGAUGGUUUCUUGCGAAUGUGAGCAAAAAAACACUUCAUUGCAUUGGUUAAUAGUAAUCUCGCAAUUUACUCUUGGAGUUAUUUUUAUAUAAUUUUUUUUUUCGAUAAUAAUAUGAACUUGUCUUAUCUUUAAAUAUUGUUUUAAAUUUUAUAUCUAGUGUAUUAAAUACAAUAGGGUUGAGGUGCAAAAUUUUUUUAAAAAAGAUGUUUUUUUAAUUA